AAAGGAAUAGACGGGGGCCCGCACAAGCGGAGGAACAUGUGGUUUAAUUCGAUGAUACGCGAGGAACCUUACCCGGGCUAGAACGCAGAGGGAAUAUACGGGAAACUGUAUAGCCAGAAAUGGUCGUCUGCGAGGUGCUGCAUGGUUGUCGUCAGCUCGUGCCGUGAGGUGUCGGCUUAAGUGCCAUAACGAGCGCAACCCUUAUUGUUAGUUGCCAUCGAGUAAUGUCGGGGACUCUAGCAAAACUGCCUGCGUAAGCUGUGAGGAAGGUGGGGAUGACGUCAAAUCAGCACGGCCCUUACGUCCGGGGCGACACACGUGUUACAAUGGGGGGUACAGAGGGUCGCUACCACGCGAGUGGAUGCCAAUCCCGAAAGCCUCUCUCAGUUCGGAUCGAAGUCUGCAACUCGACUUCGUGAAGCCGGAUUCGCUAGUAAUCGCGCAUCAGCCAUGGCGCGGUGAAUACGUUCCCGGGCCUUGUACACACCGCCCGU
This 494-nucleotide ribosomal RNA is filed under the name uncultured bacterium. RNAcentral describes it as "bacterial SSU rRNA". It matches the Rfam family "Bacterial small subunit ribosomal RNA", at positions 903 to 1397 of the family's 1533-position model. The record is from RNAcentral.